Molecule: transfer RNA, 72 nt
Filed under: Cricetulus griseus (Chinese hamster)
Lineage: Eukaryota; Metazoa; Chordata; Mammalia; Rodentia; Cricetidae
Rfam family: tRNA
About the family: Transfer RNA (tRNA) molecules are approximately 80 nucleotides in length. Their secondary structure includes four short double-helical elements and three loops (D, anti-codon, and T loops). Further hydrogen bonds mediate the characteristic L-shaped molecular structure. tRNAs have two regions of fundamental functional importance: the anti-codon, which is responsible for specific mRNA codon recognition, and the 3' end, to which the tRNAs corresponding amino acid is attached (by aminoacyl-tRNA synthetases). tRNAs cope with the degeneracy of the genetic code in two manners: having more than one tRNA (with a specific anti-codon) for a particular amino acid; and 'wobble' base-pairing, i.e. permitting non-standard base-pairing at the 3rd anti-codon position.
Source: Rfam by way of RNAcentral
UCCUCGUUAAUACAGUGGUAAGUAUCCCUGCCUGUCACUCAGGAGACUGGAGUUUGAUUCCCCGAUGGGGAG